AGUUAAAGGUCAACAACUGAUACUUUGAGUAGAGUUCCUGUUAGUGUGACUCAAUAUUUUUGUCUUUCAGUUUGCUUGAAUGGUGGAUUACAUUUAUCAAUUUACAUAUGUUGAACCAUCCAUGAAUCUCAGGGAUAAAGCCUACUUGAUCAUGAAUCCUACUUUGUUGGGCUGCAUACUGGCUGGAGGAAGUGACUUGGCAGAGAGAAGGAGCCCUGGGUCCGGUAUGGGAGACUGACGAGCACGGUUCUCUCACGCACUGAGUGACCGAAUGUGUGAGCGGUCACUGCUCCAGACUCCAUUGCUUCAUCUAGGGAAAAAGGAAAGAGAUGACUGGAACAGACAAUCACCAGCUUAAAAAAAUACCAAUUUGUGCGGACAGGAAGAAACUGAAUGAAUGUGCGUUGUAGACACGAGUGCAGUUACGGCAAGGACCCCGCUUUCUCAGACCCAUGAGGAUAGCAAGGCCUUCCCUGGUCCGAGUUUGGAUGUUGACAGAUCCUGCAAGGACAUUAUCUGCAAAAGUCAGCCUGACAGUGAUACCUUCCUAUGAGAAGAAAGACAACACCCAAAGGAGCUGCAACAGGAGCCCCAAGGAGUCAGACGUUAUCAGGUAGCAGGCAGACUUUGCUGCCAUUUACAAAAUCCUCCAAAUGUGUCAGGCUAGGGGUCAGAGGUCACAGCUGAGCCAGAACUGUACUAAGCUGUUUUAGAGUCGGCGUGAAAGGCAGAAGGUGUGCUGUGUGUUGUCUAACGCAUCGAAUGGCUGUGUGUACUUAAGAAUGGCUUUUGGUUUUAAUAUCGUUGAGUUUGAUUCCAUUAAAGCCAUGAAGGCAGAUUCUU
Molecule: long non-coding RNA, 843 nt
Filed under: Mus musculus (house mouse)
Lineage: Eukaryota; Metazoa; Chordata; Mammalia; Rodentia; Muridae
Description: RIKEN cDNA 3830408C21 gene
Source: RNAcentral